RNAcentral lists this long non-coding RNA (591 nucleotides) under Struthio camelus australis. RNAcentral's name for it is "lncRNA (ENSSCUG00000004302.1)". The record is from RNAcentral. Lineage: Eukaryota; Metazoa; Chordata; Aves; Struthioniformes; Struthionidae.
GCAAGAGGUGCGUAUUGUAACUCUAUGUCUAACUCCUGUUGAAGUUAAUCUAGGGAAUACCGUUUUCAGUAGAAUGCUGAUUAUUUCAUUUAUUAUCUUCACAGCUACUUUAAAGGAAGCAAAACAAAGGUUUUUAAGGCCAAUUAGCCAGAAAAAAAUGGAUGAACACCUCCUGGAACCUCUGAAGAGCUGACUGUUAUUUGCUGAAGAAGAAGAGAAUGAAUCUGCUACAAAAGCUAAAAUGAACAAGAGAAGAUCUAGGGCCCUUUUUUUUUUUUUUUGCUCCAUGUAGAAACUUAGACUUGCAUGGAGCUCCACAGAAGAUGGGGGAUGAGUCUUUGAUUAAAACAAAAAUAUUUAAUGCUAAGCUAGCACAAAUAUUAAUUGAGUAGAAGAUAAGUUGUAUUUUGGCUUUGCCUCUUCUGUAGUAAAUAUAUUCUUUUCUUAAGUUAUUUUCCAUGGAUAAUCCCCAAGAGACACUUCUGAAGUGAUAUGAAGAAAAAUAGAGCAGGUCUGAGCUUUCAUCUCCCUUUGUGGGAAUUUCCAAGCUGUACUCAUGAGAGAUAUGGACAAACUGGCAGGGCAGAAAUA